RNAcentral lists this ribosomal RNA (489 nucleotides) under uncultured bacterium. RNAcentral's name for it is "bacterial SSU rRNA". It matches the Rfam family "Bacterial small subunit ribosomal RNA", at positions 18 to 518 of the family's 1533-position model. The record is from RNAcentral.
CCUGGCUCAGAACGAACGCUGGUGGCGUGUCUUAUACAUGCAAGUCGAGCGAGGCAGCAAUGCCGAGCGGCGAACGGGUGAGUAACGCGUAAGCAAUCUGCCCCAUAUCAGGAAAUACCCGUGCCAACGCGCGGUUAAUGUCCAGGAGAGUGGCUAGCUGCAUGGCUAGUUGACUAGAGAUUUAUCGGUAUGGGAUGAGCUUGCGUCCGAUUAGCUAGUUGGCGGGGCAACGGCCCACCAAGGCGACGAUCGGUAGCCGGCCUGAGAGGGUGAUCGGCCACAUUGGGACUGAGAUACGGCCCAGACUCCUACGGGAGGCAGCAGUAGGGAAUAUUGCACAAUGGGGGGAACCCUGAUGCAGCAACGCCAACGUGUGGGAAGAAGCAUUUCGGUGUGUAAACCACUGUCGUGAGGGAAUAAGGCCCAGUUUCGGCUGGGAUUGAAUGUACCUCGAAAGGAAGCACCGGCAAACUUCGUGCCAGCAGCCGC